GAUAGCCACCUGUCGUUACCGUGAUUGGACUCUGACGCAGAGUCAACUAGCCUUGCCACGUGGUUCUUCGCCGGGGGAACCCAGGGCGGUCCGAGCCACGAGGGGGGAGGCUCGGACCGCCGUCC
This 125-nucleotide non-coding RNA is filed under the name Streptomyces subrutilus. RNAcentral's name for it is "Streptomyces RNA 3920". It matches the Rfam family "Streptomyces RNA 3920". Rfam says of the family: Identified by deep sequencing of transcriptome at the end of exponential growth phase. Lineage: Bacteria; Bacillati; Actinomycetota; Actinomycetes; Kitasatosporales; Streptomycetaceae. The record is from Rfam by way of RNAcentral.